AUACGUAGGGGGCGAGCGUUGUCCGGGAUUAUUGGGCGUAAAGGGUGCGUAGGCGGCAUUUUAAGUCACAUGUGAAACUCCUCGGCUCAACCGGGGACUUGCAUGUGAAACUAGAAUGCUUGAGUUCAGGAGAGGAGAACGGAAUUCCUGGUGUAGCGGUGAAAUGCGUAGAUAUCAGGAGGAACACCAGUGGCGAAGGCGGUUCUCUGGACUGCAACUGACGCUGAGGCACGAAAGCUGGGGUAGCGAACAGGAUUAGAUACCCUGGUAGUCCCAGCCGUAAACGAUGGAUACUAGGUGUAGGCACCGAUGAAGGUGUCUGUGCCGCAGUUAACGCAUUAAGUAUCCCGCCUGGGGAGUACGGUCGCAAGGCUGUA
Molecule: ribosomal RNA, 377 nt
Filed under: uncultured bacterium
Lineage: Bacteria
Description: bacterial SSU rRNA
Rfam family: Bacterial small subunit ribosomal RNA
Source: RNAcentral